CAUAUCAGAUUUACGUGAAGAUAGAAAGCAAUGAACUCUACUUGGAUUUUCAAAUGGAAUCUUUAUGGAGCUAUGGCUUAGGAAUUGACCUUUCCAUUUGUAUGGGUUCCCAGGUUCUAAAACUAACUUUGGCCUGCAAGAAAGAAGUUAGAGGAGGAAGUGAAAUCACAGCAGUCAGUAAAGUGAAAGAUAGUUCUUUAUUUUCUCUCUUGCCUGCAUUGCUCAUCUGCAAACAAUUUAUAAUAGUGCAACAUCCCCUAGUUAUAGAAUGGUCAUUGUGCAUGCAUGGGGAGUAACUUCUUUCCUGUUCUGUGACCCACAGGAUUCGGUUUCUCUAUUGGCAUGUAAUUGCAAACACAAUUCACUUGUAAAAAUUUCCAGUUUCUUGUGAAAAUUCCAUUUGUAAAUUUUGUUCUUUGGCUGCCUCCAGUAAAUUUUUAUAUGAAAAUAAAAAGAGCUUGUCCCUUUAGCUAUUCUUUUAUGGCAUGCUUGGAUAUUAUGAACCAUCCAUCAUAAUUUGGGAUGACAUGUAAAAUAUUUAAGCUACUUUUCUGGGUUAAAAGGGAGCAAAGGAUGGUUAUUCUGUGAUCUCAUUAUCUGAAUUGACAUUCUUUCUGUAACCAGAACCAUAAUCAUGUUGAUUUUUCUUAUCUUUAUGUUGACAAAAUUUGUUUCCCUUUUUGAUAUAACUUCACAGAACUUACUGCUAAUAUAUCUUUUAUAUCUUUUCCUCUUUCAUCCCUGUUCUCCUUCAGUCUGCUAGGUCAGAGUAUAAGGACUCUCAAGAAUAUGGAGUAAUUAUUAAAUACCAGUUCAAAAUAUCCAUUAAGUUUUUAUACAGCAUUGAUACUGACUGCCACUCACAUAGAAUUAAAGAUUUCUCUUCUCUAAAAGGAGACAUCUAUAACAAUACUUCCAUUCUUCCAAAUUUGGGAUAGCCUUUGCCAUAGGAAGAAAGGAGAGUCUUGUGUUUAAUGUGUACUCAAACCGUACUUUAUGUAAUAUGCAUGUGUGAACAUGAUAUGCUGUGCCUUCAAGUGGUAAGCUUUUUUAAAAUUAAACACAGGAGUUUCUGUUUUUGAGUAGCUAUUUUUAAGUAUAAAAAGAUAACCAUACAAGUUAAGUAGAGUUAAGAAUCUAAACAUGUUCUAUGUAGUCAGUGUUCAUUGUGAGUAAGGCUUGGAAAAAUCAACUUGAUAUAAAGUUGGAUGGCUUUGCUUCUCUAUCUCUGGUGGAAACCAUUUUUCUGGAAAAUCUUCUACCUGUACUUAAAGACAGAGGACAAUUCCUUUUCCCAUUUACUUAUAUAUUUAGAUGUUUGAUCACCCACCAGUGGCUAGCAAGACCAGACAUGGUUCCUAUCCUAAUGGGUUUACAGUCUGGUGGAUGAGACAGACAAAUUAAAUAAUCACAUACAGAAAGAAAUGUAAAUCCUAAGCAAUGCUGGAAUCAUGUGUUACUGAGAUCAUAUAACAUUGGGGGGACCUAUCAUGAGAGAUCGGUAUUUGGGAUAAGACCUUAAGAUAGAGGACUCUAGGCAGGAGAUGAACAUGUGUGAUGGCUCUUUAUGGCCAAGGCUUUGAAAGUGGGCACGUCUGGCUGGAACGCCAUUAAGACAUGAGUGUCAUCUUGUUUGUAUACCAACUUUGGGAGGGAAAUUAUCCAUAUGGUACCUUAUGCCAAAUUCUUAGUCUUUAAAUUAUGUCACAGUAGUUGAUGUUUGAGAGUCUUGUUUGUAAUUUUUUAAAAAGACUUUUCAGUUUUUAAUUUUUUGUGCAACAAAGCUUUAACCCUCUGUUUCUUAGCAUUGCCCUCCCCCACCUUUGGAGCAGACUGAAAGGGAAGUAGACAUCAUUUGAUCUGAUUUAAUGUUCACUUGCUGUUAUUUUGUUAUACUUUUCAUUCAUAUUUCAUUUAUGCUCUUAAAGUUUUAACAUUUGUUUUUCUGUGGUGUAUUUUUCUAUUUUCAGAAUUGUUUUCAUUACUUUGAGUUGAAAUCCCACAAAUCCACUCAUCUUCCUUUUCUCUUUGUCUUAAAGUAGAUUUUUCAGAGCAUAAAUAGAAGCAAGCAGACAUA
This is a long non-coding RNA of Myotis daubentonii (Daubenton's bat), 2077 nucleotides long. RefSeq lists it as uncharacterized. The record is from RefSeq and is a predicted model, not a curated record. Lineage: Eukaryota; Metazoa; Chordata; Mammalia; Chiroptera; Vespertilionidae. The transcript has 2 exons.